Molecule: long non-coding RNA, 2028 nt
Filed under: Octopus vulgaris (common octopus)
Lineage: Eukaryota; Metazoa; Mollusca; Cephalopoda; Octopoda; Octopodidae
Source: RNAcentral
UUCCUCUUAUCCCACGUUUCCUUAUGUAAGCAUUAUUUAUAUAUAUUUUUACAUAUUUCUUGUCUCGAAAAUUUCUCUUUUAAAUUUAUAAUUCUACUUCAUCUGCACAAUUCUUUCUCCUUACAAAAACCUGUUUUCUUUCGUCUUUAUUUUUGCUUGUUUUCGUUUUCUCUGAUUUUUCUCUUCAUUUAAACUUCAGUUAAUAUUGUUUUCAGGGAGUUACGGCAUUCGUUCGAUAUAGAUAUUUUGAGUAUAUCUUUGUUCUAUUUCUUUAACCAUGUUUUUUUACUCUUGUUUUUAUUCUGUAGUCCUCUCGAGGACUGAUAGACAAGAGUGUAGACUUUAAAUGUUUUACGAAAUAGCGGCUAGACCCUACUUAUUCUCAUUACGUGUGAUCUGCCUCAAGUAAACCUAAUCGGUUAAUGUUUACAUCUUCGGAUGACACUUUGUUGUACAAACACCGUAAAUAUGAACAGUGAUUCCUGUUUCCUAUAGCGAAACCCAUCAGUCUUAGAAUCUUGGACGACUUUGUGGCAGAUGCAAUUCAAUACCCCCAACGCGUUGUAAAGUUUCUUGGUUUUAUAAUACAAACUUCCUUUUAAAGUGAUCUAAAUUUAAACCUUCCAUCAAACUUUCGUUUUAAUAUAUGUUACAAACAUCAGCUUAAUACUGACAGUUAUUUUACUAAAUUCUUCAUUAUUUUAAAAAUUAAUCGAAACAGUGGCAGUGUAUUUCAAGAGACAUUUGGUAAGGAGAGUUAAUAGAAUUUUAAACAGCAUAAAUCCCAAUGAAGUAUUUGAAUAAAGAAAGUCAGGCAUUUACUAUGUAAAAGGUAACUAUGAGGAUAAUAGUAGUGAUAAUGAUUGUCUAAAUAUCUCCUUUCAAAUGACCGGCUCUUAAGUCAUGUGAUGAGAGUACUGGAAGAAGACAUUCGGACGGAACCAAAGUCUUGUAGACAAGAAUUAUAUUGUUAAAUAACAUUUUAUAUUCUUUGUUGGUCAUCAAUGUAGGUUACUAAUAUGUUGGUACUUCUUUCCUAUGUUAUCUUUGUAAUAACAUAACUACAAUAGUUUUCAAAAUUGUUGAAUGUUUGAGAAAAGAAAGGAAUUGUACUUGUGUCCUCAUCAUCAUCAUUUAACGUCCGUUUUCCAUCCUGGCAUGGGUUAGACGGUUUAACUAGAGAUGGUAAGCUAGAGAGCUGCGCCUGGUUUCAGUCUGUUUGGCUUGCUUUCAACAGCUGGAUGCCCUUUUCAGCACCAACCACUCUACAGUGCAUUGGGUGUCUUUCCUGUGUCACCAGCACAGGUGCCUAUUUACAUGUCACUGGCACUGGUCAUGACCACGAUUUCACUUCGCUUGAAGUGUGUUCUCAAGUGCAGCAAAUUGCCAGAAGCCUAUGCUACUUGUCAUUGCCUCUGUGAAACUCAACAAUCAAAGAUCAUAUUUCACCACUUCAUCCCAUGUUUUCUUGGAUCUACCUCUCCGGCAGGCUCCCUCCGCAAUUAUAGAUUGGCACUUCUUUCUCCGGCUAUCUUUGUCCAUACACCUUACACAGCUGUCUGAAAACUACAAUGGAGUUGGCAGUUGUCUUAUCUCUGGAAAUAUGUUCUGAUUCUUUUUAUUAUAAUUUUCAGUAUGUAUGAUCAAAUAUUUUUUCCAAUAAAACUCAUGUUAACACUUCAUUGUCCUUUAUGUCUUAUAUUGUCUUUUUAUUUCAGGUUAUCUGAUGGUAUUAAGGUAAAAUGUUUUCACUAAAGAUGAUCAACAUAUGAAGUUCUGAAGAUUAAAAUUAACUUCAUUAAGCUAUGUCAGCCUGUUAAUACAUUUUCCUUGGAAUUGAGAUUAUUUACUGUAAUACCAAAACCAACAACAGAUGGAAGGCUGUAGUAACAGUAUCAACAGCAUAUGCAUGACUGCAGCUCUUUUGUUACAACUACUGCUACAGUAAAAGAUUAAUUAGACUGAAGAUAUAAGGACUAAAAACUUCAUCAAGCUGCUGUCAGCCUGUUUCUGAAACUCUUAGUUGAA